CUUUGUUUAGUAGCCAAGGAUGACUUGCCUUUCAUCAAUGCAUACAAAAUGGGAGCAAAAACCCCUUUUGAUGGUUGGAAUGCGUGGCAAGCAUCUUUGGCGACUUGACGAGCUC
This 115-nucleotide microRNA precursor is filed under the name Nicotiana tabacum (common tobacco). The record is from RNAcentral. Lineage: Eukaryota; Viridiplantae; Streptophyta; Magnoliopsida; Solanales; Solanaceae.